RNAcentral lists this ribosomal RNA (727 nucleotides) under Ascobolus americanus. RNAcentral's name for it is "LSU rRNA". It matches the Rfam family "Eukaryotic large subunit ribosomal RNA", at positions 148 to 893 of the family's 3401-position model. Lineage: Eukaryota; Fungi; Ascomycota; Pezizomycetes; Pezizales; Ascobolaceae. The record is from RNAcentral.
AUUUGUAGAGGCAGCAUUGGGUUACAGCCAGGUCUAUGUUCCUUGGAACAGGACGUCAUGGAGGGUGAGAAUCCCGUAAGUGGCUUGGUGAGUGCCUAUGUAAUGCGCCUUCAACGAGUCGAGUUGUUUGGGAAUGCAGCUCUAAGCGGGUGGUAAAUUCCAUCUAAAGCUAAAUAUUGGCGAGAGACCGAUAGCGCACAAGUAGAGUGAUCGAAAGGUGAAAAGCACUCCGGAAGGAGAGUUAAACAGCACGUGAAAUUGUUGAAAGGGAAGCGCUUGAGACCAGACUCGGGCAGGGUUGAUCAGCCUCCAUUCUUGGUGGUGCACUCUUCUCUGUCUGGGCCAGCAACAGUUUUAGCGGUGGUAUAAAAGUCUAGGGAAUGUGGCUCUCUUCGGGGAGUGUUAUAGCCCUGGGCACAAUGCUGCCAGCUGAGACUGAGGACUGCGCUUCGGCACGGUUGUUGGCAUAAUGGUCUUAAGCGACCCGUCUUGAAACACGGACCAAGGAGUCUAACAUCUAUGCGAGUGUUUGGGUGUAAAACCCUUACGCGAAAUGAAAGUGAACGUAGGUGAGAACCCGCAAGGGUGCAUCAUCGACCGAUCUUGAUGUCUUCGGAUGGAUUUGAGUAAGAGCAUAGCUGUUGGGACCCGAAAGAUGGUGAACUAUGCCUGUGUAGGGUGAAGCCAGAGGAAACUACUGGUGGAGGCUCGCAGCUGUUCUGACGUG